Non-coding RNA from Misgurnus anguillicaudatus (oriental weatherfish), 583 nucleotides. The record is from RefSeq and is a predicted model, not a curated record. Lineage: Eukaryota; Metazoa; Chordata; Actinopteri; Cypriniformes; Cobitidae.
GUGGUCCGCUCCGACCUGUGACACAUGCCUCUGUGAAACUGACGAUCUCUGGUAGGAGCUGCUGGUUUGUGGUUGGCAGUAUGGAUCAUGGUCUGCGACUCAUGAUGAGCUGGGCUGGAGACAUGAAGAGGUUGUCAACAGGUGAAGAUGUCUGAAGCUAAUACCUGCCAUGGUCUGAUUGGUAUUUCAUGAGGAAUCAUGGGUUCCUUGGUAUUUGAAUUAUGUUGCACCAGGCAAUUACUGCAUCUUUUGAUCAUGUGUUCUAUCUGCUUACACAUUCCUAGCCAGAAUAACAUUUCGUGCUCUUAGCUUAGACUUCUCAGCGUGUGCGCAUAUCUUUUCUGUGUGAGGUCAGAUAUGACUAUUUUCUCAUCUUCACUGGUCAAUGAAAGUUUGUCUUAGAAGUCAAUAAUGUAUGUGGGAAAUUGUCUCCUCUUUGCAGGCCAUCCAUUCAAGAUCAUCUAUCUGAGCUGCUGAAAACUGCCUCGGUACGGAUCUGUUGCAGCUUUGUGUCACUGACUGUAUUUCUUCAAAUUCCUGUUCCGUGUCACAUGGCUUAUGCAAGACUGAAUCCAUGAAGGUG